Molecule: long non-coding RNA, 5797 nt
Organism: Peromyscus californicus insignis
Lineage: Eukaryota; Metazoa; Chordata; Mammalia; Rodentia; Cricetidae
Exons: 3
Source: RefSeq, a predicted model, not a curated record
CAAGAGGGAAGGGAAGGAUGGUAUUAUACCUUUGCUAUUCAAGCUUUGCACACAAUUUAACAAAAAGACCCUUGGCUUAUAAACCAUCCCAGCUUUUGGUUACACGGCACUCACAAAAUAGUAUCUGAAUCAUAUCUUAUCUGUGGAUGACUCAUCCAUUACAGUUAUGUAAAACAUGUGCUCCAAAAAUCAGUGACAUUGGGGCUAGAGAGGAGGCUCGGCAGGGGGAAGUGCUCUCAGCAGAAGUCUUAUGACCCCGGUUUGGACGGCUGGAACCUACUCAACGGGCGGGAUGCAGUAGCACACAUAUCACACAUGUAAUUCCAGCACUACGACUGUGAGAUGGGUGGUCAAGAUGGGAAUAUUGCCCAGGAGCUCAAGGGCCAACUACGCUAGACUGUACAGUGCAACUGCAGAAACAAGAGAGACCCUGCCUCAAGGUGGAAAGCAAGAACCAGCUCCCCGAAGUUGUCCUCUGACCUCCACAUGCAUGCUACAGCACACAGGCACCCCCCCCCUCACACAUACAUACAAAUAAAAAGAACAGUGAAGUUCUGAUGCAGCCUCCAUCAUCCAGUAAUUUGGUAAAAUGACAACUAUAAGAGCAGAGGCUCUGCUCUAUGUUCUCUGAGCCCUUUAGAAAACAUGGAGGUGUUCUGCUGGCCACAUACAUGCAAAUCUACAAGACAGGUUGCAGACAUCAAAGGGACUGGGUACUGCUCAAAAGAAUGCUCCAUAAAUGUCACCAUGGCAAAACUGGAAGAGUCUACCGUUUUAGCAUGCUGAUGGCAUUGUGUUAAAAAGUUAAAGGUAAGGUUCUUUCCAGCAUUACCGUGCCCUCUGAGCAUCCUGAGCACUGUAAGAGUCAGGACAGAUUCCGGAAAUAGUGAAGGAAAAUGACUGUUUUGGGGCGGGGCGAUGAGAGAGGCACCUGGGUUCACCUGGAGCACCAGCCUGCUGCACCCCGAGAAGCACACUGUGUGAGGCCAUGGGAAGGAGGAGCCUGUGCUGCUGAAACCCGGUCCCUGAGAAGUCAUGGCUUCAUGCUCAAAAGGAAAUUUCGGACCUAGACUGUCCACAUGCUUUCUUAACAAAAAGUAGUAAAGUUAAUUUAAUUCAUAGAACUGGCUGAUCAGAGAAGUAUUAAUGGCACAAAGUAGUUCUCAUAUAUUUUCCCUAAAUCUUUCUCCUCUUCAGCCUUUUAUUAACACAUUACAAUGUACAUACCAUAUGUAGAAAGUUCUGGGCCUCCCUUCCCUCCUCACUGCCUUUAUUGGUUUCUUGAGGAGCUCUCUGUCUGCUGGGAGGGAACUUAUUAUGUAACUCAGGCUGGCUUUGAAUUUGCAUCAAUCCUCCUGUCUCAGUCUUUCAAAUGCUAGGAUUACGAGCAUCCACAUCUCUCUCUCUCUCUCUCUCUCUCUCUCUCUCUCUCUCUCUCUCUCUCUCUCUCUCUCUCACACACACACACACACACACACACACACACACUGCUGCAUAAACAAAGCAUACUAUUAAUCAAAUUGACAGUUCUAACAGGACUAGUGGUUUGCUUUAGGGUUGUACACCAGAGGUAAAUUUGUUUCCCGCUUUCUCUUAUGGGCGUCAAUAAAAGCAGUCAUUAAAGAUGGAGAAAAGCUAGACAAACUGACAAAUGGAAAGGAGUAUUAAUUUUUAGACAAUAACUAAGACUGAAAAGAAAUAUAUACUGGGCUUCACCUAAUCUCUCUCAAACAUGUGUUUACAAACAUAAGGAGGCUACCUCAUUUCCACAUACAUAACUGUAUCACAGAUUUAGGAUUCCAAACCCACUGCAGCAUCAAUUUCCUAAUAUCUACCAUGCACAAGUCACUAUCCUCACAAGGGAAAGCAGCACAGUAAAAGAUACCAUGCCCCCAGAGACCCGAGUGACAGAUGUAAACAAAACCGCUCUACACAAUAUGAGUGAGAGCAAAAAAGGGAGGGGGGGGGGGAUUCUGGAUAGAUGGCUCAGUGGUUAAGAGCACUUGCUGCUCUUCUAUAGGACCUGGAUUUGGAGCCUAUCACCAAUAUAGGGAGGGAUCCCAGCAGCCUGGAACUCCAGUUCCAGGGGAUCUGAUGGUGCCUACACACAUGUGGCACAUAACAUUCAGGCACACACAUAGUCAUAAAAGAGAGAAAGAAGGAACAGAGGGGAGGGAUUUAAUUUAAAUGAGGCAACAAGUCCCAGGGGAGAAACUGUUAACUGCACUCAUUCUGUGAAUGAGUCUUAGUUUGGAAAAAGAGCAAGUACCUCAGUAAAGGUGUGUUUUAGCGUCCCCUAGCUGGAUCACACUGGCUACUUAUUAGAGAGAGGUAUCCCGCCUUCUCCCUUUUGUGAACAUUUGCUUAGCUGGAAUGUGUGAAAGGUAUAAUGUUACAUCACAGUUAAGCCAAGAAUACUGGCAAUUACAGGAAGCUAAUAAGAGAUAAAUUAUUUUUUUCAGAGAAUCAGAGAAAGUAAGUCAACACUAAAACACUAAGCAAUUUGUUUUUGUUUAGGUAAUAGCAUAUUCAACCAAGAGUAAAAUAGAAAACAUUUGGAAAGGGAUCACAUAGUAGUUCACAAUGUGGUCUUUGCUGAAAAAACAAAAACAAAAAAACAGCACUACUCUUAAGAGUGACUAAAUGACAAUCUUUAAGAUUUUACAAAUACAAAGUAAAUGUAGAGCAGCAAAUUAAGCAAUCUAGAAAAACAGCUUCAACGGCGCAUAAAGAGGGCAGCUGAAGAAUUUUAAGUUCAUAUUAAGAGCAGGUUAAUAUUUUGCCUGGUUAGACCGGCAAAUUACACUGUUAAGUGUGCCAGUUGUUUUAAACACAGCUUUUUUUUUUUUUUUCUUCAACAUCCGUGCAAUCAGGUAGGUUUGCCAACCCAUAAACACAGGCAUCCUCAUACAGAUUUAAGCCAUUUAUUGCCUGGGGCACGACGGCCUUACAACUAUCCAGUUGCCUCUCCUUUUGUCUUGCUGAGUAUCCGGCGUCCAAACAAAUAAAACGGCUUUAUUUUAUUUCAUACUGUGGAAGGCAAGGCGGCGCCAGAAAGAGCAGUUUGGGAAAAGCCUAGCGCGGGUCCGGGAGGCUGGCGCAGCCCCGCCCCUCGGGUGCUGGGGCCACGCCCUGCCGGGGCGCGCGUCUCAGCCCCGCGUGGCGCUCCACUCGCGGGGGCGCGCUCAUUGCGCGCCUCCCGGCCGCGGGCUUCGCCGCCGGGCAAGCGAUCCCCGCCGAGCGGAGGGCAUGCUUUCCAAAUGGCUUCGCAGCCACAGGGGAGAGCGAGAACGCAGUCCCCCACUACCACAAAUUAUGCAGUCGAGUUUCCCGCAUUUGGGGAAAUCGCAGGGGUCAGCACAUCCGGAGUGCAAUGGAUAAGCCUCGCCCUGGGAAAACCACCUUCAUGAUCAUGGUAUCUCCCCUGCCAGAAGAAGCGAGAAGAGAAGCUUUCAGCUGCUCCAGUGUUUCCUCAGCACCAUACUUUGGGCUGCCGGCUGAAGUAUGGACCUUUACAGCCCCCCUCUCAUCCCUCUAAUAAUUCACCAGGAUUUCCUGAAUCUGAAGCAUCAGAGAUGAAGUGCAGGUGUUCCUAACACCAUAGGGUAACCCUUGCAAUAGGAUGUGAAGAGUUCACAUGAACCCACCCCCAUCUGUAAACUGUCUAAAUCUUAACCACUCAGCAGAUCUACAGUCUUCGUGUAAGGAAAUGGCCAGAAACAUCCAGUACUACUUUCCAAUAUGCUAGCUUCUAGUCCACGAGCUGUUGUUUGUAUUUACAUUAAUUAUGGUGAAUUAGAGUGAAGUUCUCAGUCACACUGGUUACAGUUCAAGUGUUCCAUAACCAUUCAUGGCUAACAGCUACUAGACUGGGAAGAGUCAAUACAGAACGUUUUUGUUAUCACGGAAAAGUGUGUGGGACGGUAUAAGUCAAAAAUAAGGGUACAUGAUUUGACUUUAAUUAAACAAAUGAUGACCUAAAGCUAAAGGAUAGUUACAUGAUGACAGCAGGUAAAAAGAGAAAUGGGGUUGGCUCGUGUGGACCCAAGGCAAAGCCUAAAAAGAAUGCUUGUUCUAAAAAAGAAGGCAAAAUAUUUUAUUUAUCAGUAACACUAAUUCUUCAAUUAUCAAAAGGUCAAAAUAUAGAGACAUUAAGCUAAUGUUUGCUAUCUAUUAAAAUUUCAUAAGGAGCAAAACCACAGAAAAGAAUAAUGUCAAAACAAACACAACCUUUCCUUUUUGUGAAUUACUAUUUCUAAGGAGAUGUCAGGACACACAGACAAACACAGGCUGUUCUUGGUGUGAGUGUGCUGUUUCAGAAUGUGAAGAGGGGCACCAGGGUAUCAGUGUCUGCCCAAUAUAGACAAAGGCCAGGAAAUGUCAGAGCCAAGCCACUGAGGCUGAUUUUAUCCGAUUUCUACCAAACAUGUUAUACGUAUGCUCUGCUGCAUUGCAGACAUGUGAGGUCACGAUUUCUACCAAACAUGUUAUACGUAUGCUCUGCUGCACUGCAGACAUGUGAGGUCACGGUGGCUGAAGAGAAACUUGAAAAUUGACUGUAGCAAGAACAAACAACAAAUCACCGAGUUUGUGGAAAUAGUGAGCUUCUUUUCCAUUUUAUGGGUCACUUCACGAAGUGGGAACCCUCAUGAAAUUUAUUCAUGAUAGAUUCAUAUAUGAACACCAUGUGAAGAGGGCAAAUGAGGGUAUCAGAAAGAGCGCUUCAUCUCAGUGGACACUCCAGUGAAACCAGCAGCUGGGGGCCUGGUUCUGCGUGAGUGUGUCUAUGUGUGUCUGUACCUACGCCUGGAGUAUUUGCUGAGACUGAGCGGUUACGUUGAUAGAAGAUGUGAAGACGGUAUCUAUAUUCGAGGUAGGUAAGUAGGUAUUAAUAACACAAAUGCAGAAGGCAGCCCAAUAAAGCCAAGAAUCUGACCCUCUGGGUAGUUAGUGGUGACUUAACUGUUACUUUAUUGAAGUAGCUGGAUAAUUGGAAAAAGGACUAUCAGUGACUAAGCCAUUAGCAGCAGCUUAGAGUAGAUUAAACCUAAGAUAACCUAAAGUGACCAGGGGUUAGGUCAGGGAGACAGACUGAAUUCAAAGUGGGUUUUCUGCAGCAGUUUGUAAGGAUCCUGGAAAGACAGGGGCUAUUAAUCUUAAUGAACAUUAGGAAAGAUGUACAGAUUUUGACUUGAAUAAUGGGCUUACUAAAUUUGAGUAAUAACUUUAUUUGUAAUGAUUUUACUUUAUAGAUUUCUUAAAUCAAGGAAAAACUACUUAAAUGCUAAUUGUAGAAAUUCCAGUAGUACCUGAGUACAGGAAAUGAAGUCUCAGCCCCUUUCUUUCCCUGGGACCUACCAAUGCACUUGCUAAAUGGAACCACAUUGUUAAAAGUCUAUGUUUGCUUUGAAGGGCAUUUUGAUUUUUUUGUAAAAUAUGUAUGGUUAACUUAUGCAUGGCUUUAUAAAACUUCUAUUGUUCGCAAUGUACUAAAACGUCACAUUAUAUAGUGAACACACUUUGAGACGUCACCAUAGAAGUGAUGUGCCAUGGCAGCCACUUUUAAGAUAUGUAUUAUUUUAGCAGACCUGUGGCAAUAGCAGCAAAUGAAACAGAAUCAUUCAAUGGCCUUAUGCUAAUUAAAGAACAUACAUAACAUAUUACAUCUGUAAUAUAGUACUUAAGUCUUCCUCAAUAAGUAUCUUUUUUUUUUCUUAGAUUCAAACAUUUAGGCUGAGCUUAGACACAAUGCUCCUCAUUUUAUUAUCCACACACGAACUUUCUUUAAUGCAAUAUG